GUACAACGAAGAUCAGGUAGUUUGUCAAAAAAUGGAUAGAAACGUUGACGAAUAGAUGCACGAACACCCGGAUUAAAAACACGUACAGAUUACUAAGGCAACUGUGGCUGUGGGGUACCACAUAUCCUAUUCCCAUAAUUGAUGAAUCAACCUAGCGAAGAAAAAGGAAGAAAAAAGGAGAACCUGAGGGGACUUGGACGGUAGCUGAUUUGACGUGGAAUGUUCUUAAGAUUAAUUUAGACAGAGACCACGUGGCCGAUUGAUCUAAGAGGAAAAUUUCUAGUGGCAGCAGCGAUCCACGUGCUAACUGCUUACAUUUCGGCCACGAAGGGAACACUUGCAGCAUGCUUCCUUAAAUAUAGGCUAUUUAACCUUGCCUGCACAUCGAACAUAUUAUAACCGUACCAUUUAGUAGGACAAAAUUAUAAGAUAAUCUCAUUCACUCUACUAACGUAUAGCAGAACCUCAUCUGAAACUAAUAAGGAGAUACAUAAUUCUUGAAUUAGGCCGAACAUAUUAGAAGUACUCUGUAUGUGUAUAAAAUAAAGUAAUGGAUAGGUGGAUGAGGACUAGCGAGAAAGAUGUUGCGGAUGUCCCUCUGGUGGCAAGUACUGGUAGUAUCACCACACAGAAAAUAAGUUCAACGAAUGUGUAUCCUGUUCUCGACAAAUUGAUAAAUAAUCAAUCUCAUCAAGCUACAUGCUUCAUACUUUUACACUUGACAAAUUUAUCAACAUCAUCACACUGCUUUAUCUGGAUGAAUU
Molecule: non-coding RNA, 764 nt
Organism: Osmia lignaria (orchard mason bee)
Lineage: Eukaryota; Metazoa; Arthropoda; Insecta; Hymenoptera; Megachilidae
Source: RefSeq, a predicted model, not a curated record